This 349-nucleotide small RNA is filed under the name Hordeum vulgare subsp. vulgare (domesticated barley). The record is from RNAcentral. Lineage: Eukaryota; Viridiplantae; Streptophyta; Magnoliopsida; Poales; Poaceae.
GCCUAGACUUUCCCGCAGCGAGCGCGGCGUUUCGCGGGGAAGACCUUUUCUCCGCCGCCAUUGGCCCUCGCUCGGAUCGCGGCGCCGGCACGCGCGAGGCCGGCGGUGGGUCACCGCGGGCGCGCUUCCAGCGAGAUCGACCCCGAGUGCUCAAGCAGACCGUGUGAUCGUCCACGUCGUCGCCGGCUUACCCCGAUGGAUCGCCGGGAGAAAAAAGAUUACUGCUGAAUAAACAGAAGAAGUCAAAAGCAAACAGGCACUGCAUUUAAAUCCCAAUUUGUACUGUCAUCGCAGUGAGGAACAUGUAAAGCAAAAGACAGGUAUUACAGAGUGCGAGAGUAUAUGUGUC